Molecule: ribosomal RNA, 1337 nt
Filed under: marine metagenome
Description: bacterial LSU rRNA
Rfam family: Bacterial large subunit ribosomal RNA
Source: RNAcentral
CGGAUGCCUACAAGCAGUCGGAGCAGAAGGAUCUUCGGAUCUGAACUGUGACGGCGUACCUUUUGUAUAAUGGGUCAGCGAGUUAGUGUAUGUAGCAAGCUUAAGCCGAUAGGUGUAGGCGCAGCGAAAGCGAGUCUGAAUAGGGCGACUGAGUUUGAUGCAUUAGACCCGAAACCCGGCGAUCUAGGCAUGACCAGGUUGAAGGUGCGGUAACACGCACUGGAGGACCGAACCGUUUAAUGUUGAAAAAUUAUCGGAUGAGUUGUGUUUAGGGGUGAAAGGCCAAUCAAGCCGGGAAAUAGCUGGUUCUCCGCGAAAACUAUUGAGGUAGUGCCUCGGAUGUUUUCCUCAGGGGGUAGAGCACUGGAUGGGCUAGGGGGUCGCGAGAUCUACCAAACCUAACCAAACUCCGAAUACCAACGAGUCUAGUUCGGCAGACAGACGGCGGGUGCUAAGGUCCGUCGUCAAAAGGGAAACAGCCCUAACCUACAGCUAAGGUCCCCAAGUCACGUCUAAGUGGGAAAGCAUGUGGGAUUUCCAAAACAACCAGGAGGUUGGCUUAGAAGCAGCCAUCCUUUAAAGAAAGCGUAACAGCUCACUGGUCUAAAUAAGAGAUCCUGCGGCGAAAAUGUAACGGGGCUAAAGAUAUGUACCGAAGCUUAGGGUGUGCAAUUUAUUGCAUGCGGUAGCGGAGCGUUCCGUAGGCCGAUGAAGCGAUCUGGUAAUGGGUCGUGGAGGUAUCGGAAGUGCGAAUGCAGACAUGAGUAGCGAUAGGAGGGUGAGACACCCUCCCGCCGAAAGACCAAGGGUUCCUGCUUAAAGCUAAUCUGAGCAGGGUAAGCCGGCCCCUAAGACGAGCCCGAAGGGGGUAGUCGAUGGGAACCACGUUAAUAUUCGUGGGCCUGGUGGUGUGUGACGGAUCUCGUGAGUUGUCAGUCCUUAUUGGAUUGGACUGGCUUCGAAGAGGUUCCAGGAAAUAGCCCCACCGUAUAGACCGUACCCGAAACCGACACAGGUGGUCAGGUAGAGUAUACCAAGGCGCUUGAGAGAAGUAUCCUGAAGGAACUCGGCAAAUUGCCUCCGUACCUUCGGAAGAAGGAGGCCCUCACAUUGCGCAAGCAGUAUGAGGGGGCACAGGCCAGGGGGUAGCGACUGUUUAGCAAAAACACAGGACUCUGCUAAGUCGGCUUCAAGACGACGUAUAGGGUCUGACGCCUGCCCGGUGCCGGAAGGUUAAGAGGAGGAGUGCAAGCUCCGAAUUGAAGCCCCGGUAAACGGCGGCCGUAACUAUAACGGUCCUAAGGUAGCGAAAUUCCUUGUCGGGUAAGUUCCGACCU